GGAAAUGUGGGGCCACACACUGGGUGCGUCACAUCACUCCCACUACUGUCCUUCGAGAAGGUCUGAGGCUAGGACCAGCAAGGGAAGCCCUAGCAGGAUUCUCCCUGAGUGUUGGGGAGGUGACUUCCCAGAGGGCAGAGCUCCAUGGAAAGGAAACCUGGGCAGGAGAAGCUGACGACCCCAGGGGCCUGACAGACACCUCCCUAGUCCUAGCUUAGAACAGACUCGUGGACAGCCAAGAGUGUCCAGUGGCUGAAGUGAGUGCCUUACAGGCCUCACAACCCAACUCUACCCUUCC
Molecule: RNase P RNA, 298 nt
Filed under: Jaculus jaculus (lesser Egyptian jerboa)
Lineage: Eukaryota; Metazoa; Chordata; Mammalia; Rodentia; Dipodidae
Description: Nuclear RNase P (ENSJJAG00000006914.1)
Rfam family: Nuclear RNase P
About the family: Ribonuclease P (RNase P) is a ubiquitous endoribonuclease, found in archaea, bacteria and eukarya as well as chloroplasts and mitochondria. Its best characterised activity is the generation of mature 5'-ends of tRNAs by cleaving the 5'-leader elements of precursor-tRNAs. Cellular RNase Ps are ribonucleoproteins.
Source: RNAcentral